Poecilia reticulata (guppy) is the source of this 942-nucleotide non-coding RNA. The record is from RefSeq and is a predicted model, not a curated record. NCBI's taxonomy places the organism in Eukaryota, Metazoa, Chordata, Actinopteri, Cyprinodontiformes, Poeciliidae.
UGCAGGUGUUCGUGUUACAUGGACUCAGAUGGCUUUGGUCCAUCUAAGUAGGAGUCCAGGUUUUACCCUUCCUGUCUGCCUCUUGGUGGACUGAGACAGGAGAGAGCCCAGAACUCCAUGGCAUGUUGGUCAGUGGCACCAACCCUGCAUUUCUAUUGGCGCCUGCCGUCCUGGCCAAGGUGGAAAAAGCAGGUUCAGAUGGCCACACACUAACCCGUUUAACUCACUCGGCGCCUGGGUUGUCGAUGGGGGCCCUUCGUGGAUCCUGCCAGGUCCAGCCCCUAAAACAAGCUGCCGGGCUGCGGCCGCGGUCGGGACCCAAACCAAGACUCCAUUCACCUAUCAACCCCUGCUGUUUAUUUUCAGAGGCAUUGGAGGAAACACUYGGAGGGGGCUUAUCAGAUCCAAACAGUCGCACGUCUUUGUUAUUUUACACACAGGCCUCCUCUCAACUUGGCCUCAUUUUCAGUAAUUGUUUUCUUUCUUGCUUGAUAGAAUAACACGGUGGGCUACAUUUAACACAAGUGGUAAGGGAAUCCCUGAGCGUAAACAAGCGGAUACAAUGCACACUGGGAUUUUAUCUGAGCCUUUUCUGUUAUUUUCUGUUUUCUGAAGGCCGGGCCACUGCAAACAUUGGAGUGUACAUCCACUGGGGUAAAAUUGUUGAAAUGGAAUACGGGGAGACUUCCAAUAUAGACCUGUGUUUUCCCCCUCCCCCCCAAAUACUGCUUCCUUACUCCUUCACUACACAUCAGCUAAAACCAGAAUUAGUCUUAGACCUCUUAUCGUGUCAAGAUGAUUCACGUUUCAAUUUUCCUUUUUUUCUUCCUCACAAUUUAAAUAAAAAAACUAAAAAAAAAAUAAUAAUAAUAAUUUAAAACUCCUGUGGUUUUAAUGAGCUUCUGAAAAUGUGGUGUAAAUAAAUGUAAUACAGCUGGUCAA